RNAcentral lists this long non-coding RNA (2604 nucleotides) under Homo sapiens (human). RNAcentral describes it as "HSALNT0374260". Lineage: Eukaryota; Metazoa; Chordata; Mammalia; Primates; Hominidae. The record is from RNAcentral.
GAGAAUGCGCGGGUCGAGUGCUGUAGUUCGAUUUUUGCGUGUGUGCGUUGCUUGCGGCCUUUGUGCCUUUUUAUUCUUUGCUUACCUUUAUGAUAUAAAGACCUUAUUUCUUACAAGGAGGAAAAGACCGCUGACUUCAGAAACAGCGGGAACCCCAGCUCGUCCCCGGUAAUUCAAGAGGAAACGCUUGAGCAAUUACUGAUGUUGUAAACUGGGAUCAGAAGACAUACAUGGUAUCGUAUCCCAGGCAAGGCACAGUGGCUCACACCUGUAAUCCCAGCACUUUGGGAGGCUGAAGAAGGCAGAUCACUUGAGGUCAGGAGUUCGAGACCAGCCUGGCUUACAUGGUGAAACCCAUCUCUACUGAACAUACAAAAAUUAGCUGGACAUGAUGGUUAGCUGCACCUCUACUCCACGUGUUCCUCCCUUCAGGUCCCAGGCUGAUGGAGUAGCCUCUGUGUGUUUGGGAUGUUGUCAGUCAUAAUGGUGGACACAAAAGAGAUUAUGACAAACCGUGUAUUGUCUCCUACAAUUUCUGCUCACAGAAGUGGACAACAUCACUUCUUUCCACAUUUCAUUGACCAGAGCAAGUCAUGUGACCAAGCCUGAUUCAAAAUAGGCUGGAGCAAGGAGGAGCAGCAAACAUAACAUUCCCAGUUUACAGCUGAGGAAAUUAAGCUUCAAGUUGCCCAAGUUUAUAGAAUGAGUCAAUGGCAGAGGUUGAACUCAGAUGACAAAAUUGGGGUCUGGACGUGUGCAAGGACUUUUCCAAAGUCAGCUGGAAAGGAGCUGCUUAGCUGAGAGGUUCUGGCUCCAGAGUCUCCUGUGAAGUUGCAGUCAAGAUGUCUGCUGGGACCCCAGUCAUUUGAAGCCCUGUCUGGGGCAGGAGAAUCUAGGUCCAAAAUGGCCGUUGCAGGAGUCCUUAUCCACACCAUGUGGGACCUCUUCAUAGAUGUUCGAGUGUCCUCAUGGCAUGGCCACUGGCUUUCCCCAAAACAAUCAACAAAACUGAAAAAGCCCAGCCUUGUAGCAUUUGCCAGUUAUUGUGUAAAUGUCCCCACUAUGGUGGAUUUCAGGUUACCACUAUGAUAUCACAGAAUGCAGAAUUGGAAGGAGAUUCACAGCAGCACCCCAUUAUACUAUAUUUUCACCAUACAGAUGCAGUCGAUGUAAAUUACCUGAGGAGCAUAAAUAAUAAUAAAAUGAAGUUAAAUAAUUCGGAAAUGAUUUUGAAAAUUGUGUUGGUUUUUAAUGUAAGUUUAUAUGUCAGCUUUAAUAAAAUCUGUCUUUAACAACUAGCUUGAAGAAUUCUUGAAAAAUUAAUAAUCAGCUCUCAUAGGCUAGUGACAACUGGCUUCAGUGCACCCCUGACUAGAAACACCUUUGCUUUCCACCACAUGUGGAAUUCCCAGUAUUUCAACAAUCAGAAUUGAGCUUAUGAGCCAACCAAGAAAAAUAACAUCUUAUAUAAGAGACAGCAAUUUGAGAGAGGAAUAUCAGUCAGAAGAAACAAGGGGAAAGUCGAACUUGUAAAAGAGAGAUGAAAAUUUGAAUUUUUUUAAAGGCAUCCUUAAGCAUAUUUAAGUACAACACAAAAAGUUAAAGAAUUUAGUAGAUAAAUAGAAAGAUGAGAUGAUUACCACUGAGACACAGAUCAAUGAUCUGGAAGAUAAAAACAAAUCAUAAAAAUAAAAGUAUCUUGAAAUUUUGCAAAGUACAUCAUAAAUCAAUGCAUCAGAGAUUAUGUGUCAUGACAAAAAAAUUUAUACUCAGAAUGAUAUGUCACUGCUUACUAUGCAAAUAUUUUCUAUUUCUCCUAGCUUCAAACUAUGCAUAUGGGCCAGGCGCGGUAGCUCAUGCCUGUAAUCCCAACACUUUGGAAGGUCAAGGUGGGCAGAUCAUUUGAGGCCAGGAGUUUGAGACCAGCCUGGCCAACAUGGUGAAACUCCGUCUCUACUAAAAAAUACAAAAUAAUUAGCUGGGUGUCGUGGAGCAUACCUGUAAUCCCAGCUGCUCCGGAGGCUGAGGCACGAGAAUCGUCUGAACCCAGGUGAUUCUGCACUCUACUUGGGCUCUGUCUCAAAACAACAACAACAGCAACAACAAAAACUGUGGUAUUUUUAAUGAACUAAAUAUUAAUCUGCUAACACAGCAUAGGUUUUAUGAUUACUGCAAUUCAAAAGUCAUAAUAAAUUUUAAAACAAAUCCUCCUGUACCUGUUGUGGUGCAUGCAGAAACUUUUCCUGUUCAACACACUUAUAUGGCACUAUAUAGGGAUAUACCAAAUAGCUCAGGUACAUAGUGAAUACAACUUUAACACUUAUAUUGAAAUGCUAAUCUUACUUGCCAAUAUUAGUGGCACAUUAGCAUAAUUUAACUUUUAUAAAAUUAUGGAAAACAGUUUAAAAUUAUUCUCCCUAAUAUUAGCAAAUUGCAUUAAUGGCAUGUACCGUGUGCCAGUUUGUUUCCAAAUAAACAAAAUGUACCUUGAUAUGCCACUUCAGAGCCAGCAGAGGGAGCUCAUACUUUUUUAUUGUUUUCAACUUACUGAAGAAAAUUUGCUUUUAAAAGCUACUGUGUUAUAACCAAUGAGAACCAAGAAAA